AAAGACUAAUCGAACCAUCUAGUAGCUGGUUCCCUCCGAAGUUUCCCUCAGGAUAGCUGGAACAAUUAUGCAGUUUUAUCAGGUAAAGCGAAUGAUUAGAGGUCUCAGGACUAUUAUGGUCUUGUCCUAUUCUCAAACUUUAAAUUGGUAAGAACUCUUUGUUCUCUUAACUGAACAUUGAGACAGAAUGCGUGUUCCUAGUGGGCCAUUUUUGGUAAGCAGAACUGGCGAUGAGGGAUGAACCUAACGUUGAGUUAAGGUGCCCAACUAUACGCUCAUGAGAUACCACAAAAGGUGUUGAUUCAUCUAAACAGCAGGACGGUGGACAUAAAAGUCGUCAUCCGCUAAGGAGUGUGUUACAACUCACCUGCCGAAUGAAUUAGCCCUGAAAAUGGAUGGCGCU
This 403-nucleotide ribosomal RNA is filed under the name uncultured eukaryote. RNAcentral's name for it is "eukaryotic LSU rRNA". It matches the Rfam family "Eukaryotic large subunit ribosomal RNA", at positions 926 to 1329 of the family's 3401-position model. The record is from RNAcentral.